AUUUAUGUAGUUUAAUAAAACAUUGUAUUGAAGCUACAAAAUUAACUAUUGUUCGUAAAUA
This 61-nucleotide transfer RNA is filed under the name Eurytemora affinis. RNAcentral describes it as "tRNA-Phe". The record is from RNAcentral. Lineage: Eukaryota; Metazoa; Arthropoda; Copepoda; Calanoida; Temoridae.